This 496-nucleotide ribosomal RNA is filed under the name uncultured bacterium. RNAcentral's name for it is "partial 16S ribosomal RNA". It matches the Rfam family "Bacterial small subunit ribosomal RNA", at positions 28 to 507 of the family's 1533-position model. The record is from RNAcentral.
GAUGAACGCUGGCGGCGUGCCUAAUACAUGCAAGUCGAGCGAACGGACGAGAAGCUUGCUUCUCUGAUGUUAGCGGCGGACGGGUGAGUAACACGUGGAUAACCUACCUAUAAGACUGGGAUAACUUCGGGAAACCGGAGCUAAUACCGGAUAAUAUUUUGAACCGCAUGGUUCAAAAGUGAAAGACGGUCUUGCUGUCACUUAUAGAUGGAUCCGCGCUGCAUUAGCUAGUUGGUAAGGUAACGGCUUACCAAGGCAACGAUGCAUAGCGACCUGAGAGGGUGAUCGGCCACACUGGAACUGAGACACGGUCCAGACUCCUACGGGAGGCAGCAGUAGGGAAUCUUCCGCAAUGGGCGAAAGCCUGACGGAGCAACGCCGCGUGAGUGAUGAAGGUCUUCGGAUCGUAAAACUCUGUUAUUAGGGAAGAACAUAUGUGUAAGUAACUGUGCACAUCUUGACGGUACCUAAUCAGAAAGCCACGGCUAACUACGUG